This 429-nucleotide ribosomal RNA is filed under the name uncultured soil bacterium. RNAcentral describes it as "bacterial SSU rRNA". It matches the Rfam family "Bacterial small subunit ribosomal RNA", at positions 35 to 510 of the family's 1533-position model. The record is from RNAcentral.
GCUGGCGGCAGGCCUAACACAUGCAAGUCGAGCGCCGUAGCAAUACGGAGCGGCAGACGGGAGAGUAACACGUGGGAACGUACCCUUUGGUUCGGAACAACCCAGGGAAACUUGGGCUAAUACCGGAUAAGCCCUUACGGGGAAAGAUUCAUCGCCGAAGGAUCGGCCCGCGUCUGAUUAGCUAGUUGGUGGGGUAAUGGCCCACCAAGGCGACGAUCAGUAGCUGGUCUGAGAGGAUGAUCAGCCUCACUGGGACUGAGACACGGCCCAGACUCCUACGGGAGGCAGCAGUGGGGAAUAUUGGACAAUGGGCGCAAGCCUGAUCCAGCCAUGCCGCGUGGGUGAUGAAGGCCCUAGGGUUGUAAAGCCCUUUCGGCGGGGAAGAUAAUGACGGUACCCGCAGAANAAGCCCCGGCUAACUUCGUGCCA